UUAGAGAAAUGCAUUGGAGUGCACUGUCCAGAUUCUGCAAAAAAGAGGUUGAAAAGUGCUUGUAAGACAAGAUGGGUUAAUCGUAUUACUAGGUUAGAUACUUUUGAAGAACUGUAUGUUGCCAUUGUUUUUUCCUUGGAAGAAAUGAGUUUUAACGUUGAAGGCAAGUGUAAUCGUGAGACCUCUAGUAAAGCUUCCCCUCUGCUACAUCUGUUGACAUCUUUUGAUUUUAUUGCAGCACUCGUAAUAACUAGAUGUAUUUUUGAUCUUACUCUUCCAGUUACUCAGUAACUUCAGUGUUCUACUAAUGAUAUUGCUGACGGUUUGAACUUGAUUGAGGCAUUAUAAAAAUUGUCGAGAACUGUAAGAAAUGAAGUCGAUGUUUAUCAUGCUAACUGGUACAGUAUUGCAUUGAUGAUGGCAGAAAAGAUGAUCACUUGUGUUCUGAGUUAGAAAAAAGGAUGAUCUUCCAAAUCCAAUGGCUUUAGGCUGUGAACUUGAUCUCUUGCAAAAAUACUGGGAAUCGUCUUCUACAACGUGUCUUCCUGAAAAUGUCUGUUCUACUUUAAAGUAGGUAAAUUUUCCAGGCUUUGAGAACAUAAAAGUAUUGUUAAAGAUCUUAGGUACUAUUCCAGUCACUUCUUGUGAGUGCGAGAGGUCGUUCUAUGCUUUGCGAAGAUUAAAGAACUAUACAAGAAGUAAUAUGGCUGCUGACAGGUUAAAUGGGCUUGCUUUAUUGCAUAUUCAUCAGGACAUUAAUCCAGAUAUAGAAAAGAUUAUAGAUCUUUUUGCAAAAGACAAAGACAAAAGAAGAAUUAAACCAGCUUUCUAGUUCGGAGUGAAAGUUUUUGAUGCCUUUUUUAACUCUUGACUGUAAAGAUGACUGCCGCUAACCUCAGUCAAUAUAAACACAAACAAUCGUUCUCAGGAGUUUACUUACCUGGACGAUCGACAUCUACAAACAUUUUUUUGCUUUUUUUGUUGACAACUUCAUUUGAUAAAUUGACAUAAAAUCGUUUGCAUAAUAAUCAGCAUAUAGGUAGGACUAGACCAUUAUAAAAUGAAAUUCCAUAUAAAAGUUGAUGAAGCGUAAA
Molecule: long non-coding RNA, 1094 nt
Organism: Xenia sp. Carnegie-2017
Lineage: Eukaryota; Metazoa; Cnidaria; Anthozoa; Malacalcyonacea; Xeniidae
Exons: 3
Source: RefSeq, a predicted model, not a curated record